GUUUUCAGCCUCCGGGUUUUGUAAUUUAGUGACCCCUAUUGGUGGCCUGCAUAUAUUUAAGCAGAGCACAUGUUGUUCAGCCAUUUUGUUGGUAGCUGUUUGAGAGUGCACACCUAUGAUACAAAUCUCCAUUCACACCUCAUUUAUCCUUGGAAAAAGCAUUGUCUGGAUACCGCUGGUUAUUACUGAGGAUCUUUGCUCCUGUCCAGAAGAAGAGCAAGGUGGUUCUGUGUUGCUAUUGAUUGUCUGGAGAACAUUGUGUGACCUGCUUUGAUAUCUGUCUCCUGUGAUCUAUCAGAAGCUCCUGUUGUGAUUGCAGUUAUCUCAGUAGGUAACAUUGCACUGUCUGGUGUCAAUAAACUUGUGAAUUCAGAAAUCCCUGUUUGUGAAUAAA
Long non-coding RNA from Tachysurus fulvidraco (yellow catfish), 394 nucleotides. RefSeq lists it as uncharacterized. The transcript is spliced from 3 exons. Lineage: Eukaryota; Metazoa; Chordata; Actinopteri; Siluriformes; Bagridae. The record is from RefSeq and is a predicted model, not a curated record.